RNAcentral lists this ribosomal RNA (296 nucleotides) under Fidelibacterota bacterium. RNAcentral's name for it is "partial 16S ribosomal RNA". It matches the Rfam family "Bacterial small subunit ribosomal RNA", at positions 1 to 275 of the family's 1533-position model. The record is from RNAcentral. Lineage: Bacteria; Pseudomonadati; Fidelibacterota.
UAACAAUGGAGAGUUUGAUCCUGGCUCAGGACGAACGCUGGCGGCGUGCCUAACACAUGCAAGUCGAACGAGGACCAGGGAGCUUGCUCCUUGUAACCGAGUGGCGAACGGGUGAGUAACACGUGACCAACCUGUCCUAGGGUGGGGGACAACCUGGGGAAACCCGGGCUAAUACCGCAUGAUGUCUCGUCCUCGAAUGGGGAUGGGAUCAAGGAGGGCCUCUGCUUGCAAGCUCUCGCCCAAGGAGGGGGUCGCGACGUAUCAGCUUGUUGGUGGGGUAACGGCCCACCAAGGCU